AUAAAAAGUGGUGAUAUAGCACUAAAAUUUUCGAUCAGAAAUAUUGAUCUUGUUGUAGAUAGUAUAAAGAAUUUUAUAUUAAUAUUUCAUCUGAUUUGAAUACUUUUACACCGUUAAACUUGAAAACGGUAGAUAUCAACCAUUAAAAAUUAGUGAUUUUGAAUUCUUUCGAUCACUAGGUAAAUGAUAUGGAAAAAUCGCAAAAAUUAUUUUCUAGAAACUUCAAAUACCCUAGAUCAAGUUUAACGGAGCUGAUCGUCGAUUCGAAAAUUCUAUCAUCGAAAACGGCUCAGGAGCAUGGAGGCCUCCAUGUAUAUAACUAGACUGGAAUACUAUUAAUAGCAUCAAGCUAUUAGUGUUAUUAGUUUUUUAGUUCUUGAAUUGAGAAAUGUAUAAUUAGGAUGAUGUAGGCCCCAAUAGUAUCCUUGCCGGACUCUAUAUAUAUAUAUCAAAUUUGAUUAUUUUUCAAAUUAAAAUUAGUAAGAGAUCCAUUUCACACAUUAAACAACUUAAUAAUUUGACGGGUAUAACCUUAUACUUACUGUUUACAAACAAAAAUUCUAUGGGAAACAUUAUUACGACGAGAAUAUUGUCAAAAUCAUCCUUCGUUACUAUUUUGACUUAAACACUAGAAGUGAUGGACGGUAUAUUUGAUGAUCUACAGAUGGGGAUGGUGUUCCAUAAAAAUUUUGUUUGCUACUUCAAUUGCAUGAGAGUGUUAUUUGACGUCAACCAUUAAUUCCAAAAUUUCGAACAAUUAAAAAUACGCAACUAAUUUACUUAAAGUGUGUAGACACAACGCCCACGGCUGUCUCGAUUGUAACUCGGCCGAACCAAUCUCACGCUACUUCAAAUAUAACUCGACCUGACCUGACCUCCCGCUACAGAGAAGAAGGGUACU
RNAcentral lists this long non-coding RNA (901 nucleotides) under Ananas comosus (pineapple). Its description in RNAcentral is "long non-coding RNA (ACOM_LNC011358)". The record is from RNAcentral. Lineage: Eukaryota; Viridiplantae; Streptophyta; Magnoliopsida; Poales; Bromeliaceae.